GACGAACGCUGGCGGCGUGCUUAACACAUGCAAGUCGAGCGGUAAGGCCCUUUCGGGGGUACACGAGCGGCGAACGGGUGAGUAACACGUGGGUGACCUGCCCUUAGCUCUGGGAUAAGCCUGGGAAACUGGGUCUAAUACCGGAUAUGACUCCAUGACGCAUGUUGUGGGGUGGAAAGCCUUGUGCGGCUAGGGAUGGGCCCGCGGCCUAUCAGCUUGUUGGUGGGGUGANGGCCUACCAAGGCGACGACGGGUAGCCGGCCUGAGAGGGCGACCGGCCACACUGGGACUGAGAUACGGCCCAGACUCCUACGGGAGGCAGCAGUGGGGAAUCUUGCGCAAUGGGCGAAAGCCUGACGCAGCGACGCCGCGUGAGGGAUGACGGCCUGGUUGUAACU
This 398-nucleotide ribosomal RNA is filed under the name uncultured bacterium. RNAcentral describes it as "bacterial SSU rRNA". It matches the Rfam family "Bacterial small subunit ribosomal RNA", at positions 28 to 430 of the family's 1533-position model. The record is from RNAcentral.